AUUGAACGCUGGCGGCAUGCCUUACACAUGCAAGUCGAACGGCAGCACGGGAGCAAUCCUGGUGGCGAGUGGCGAACGGGUGAGUAAUGUAUCGGAACGUACCUUUCAGUGGGGGAUAACGUAGCGAAAGUUACGCUAAUACCGCAUAUUCUGUGAGCAGGAAAGCAGGGGAUCGCAAGACCUUGCGCUGAUUGAGCGGCCGAUAUCAGAUUAGCUAGUUGGUGAGGUAAAGGCUCACCAAGGCGACGAUCUGUAGCGGGUCUGAGAGGAUGAUCCGCCACACUGGAACUGAGACACGGUCCAGACUCCUACGGGAGGCAGCAGUGGGGAAUUUUGGACAAUGGGCGCAAGCCUGAUCCAGCCAUGCCGCGUGAGUGAAGAAGGCCUCGGUUG
This 393-nucleotide ribosomal RNA is filed under the name uncultured bacterium. Its description in RNAcentral is "bacterial SSU rRNA". It matches the Rfam family "Bacterial small subunit ribosomal RNA", at positions 30 to 425 of the family's 1533-position model. The record is from RNAcentral.